RNAcentral lists this ribosomal RNA (457 nucleotides) under Dettopsomyia nigrovittata. RNAcentral's name for it is "partial 28S ribosomal RNA". It matches the Rfam family "Eukaryotic large subunit ribosomal RNA", at positions 1508 to 1897 of the family's 3401-position model. Lineage: Eukaryota; Metazoa; Arthropoda; Insecta; Diptera; Drosophilidae. The record is from RNAcentral.
UUCGUGUGAACAGUGGUUGAUCACGAGUUAGUCGGUCCUAAGUUCAAGGCGAAAGCCGAAAAUUUUCAAGUAUAUAUAUAUAUGUCUAUUUUACAAAUAAUAAAACACUUGAAUAAUUUUGAACGAAAGGGAAUACGGUUCCAAUUCCGUAACCUGUUGAGUAUCCGUUUGUUAUUAAAUAUGGGCCUCGUGCUCAUCCUGGCAACAGGAACGACCAUAAAGAAGCCGUCGAGAGAUAUCGGAAGAGUUUUCUUUUCUGUUUUAUAGCCGUACUACCAUGGAAGUCUUUCGCAGAGAGAUAUGGUAGAUGGGCUAGAAGAGCAUGACAUAUACUGUUGUGUCGAUAUUUUCUCCUCGGACCUUGAAAAUUUAUGGUGGGGACACGCAAACUUCUCAACAGGCCGUACCAAUAUCCGCAGCUGGUCUCCAAGGUGAAGAGUCUCUAGUCGAUAGAAUA